UGCAGAGGCAAUAAAGUCAUUGUUUCAAAUUCAUGCAUUCUUUAUUAAUUCAUCACACAAAUGAGAGGAUAACUGCCAAGGAAGCCCGGGAGGAGUCGGGGAGGAGGGAAGCACAGGGUACGUGUGGUGGAGGAAGAGAGGAAGGA
Molecule: long non-coding RNA, 146 nt
Organism: Gopherus evgoodei (Goodes thornscrub tortoise)
Lineage: Eukaryota; Metazoa; Chordata; Testudines; Testudinidae
Exons: 4
Source: RefSeq, a predicted model, not a curated record